GCGUUGUCCGGAAUUAUUGGGCGUAAAGAGCUCGUAGGCGGUUUGUCGCGUCUGCUGUGAAAACCCGAGGCUCAACUUCGGGCGUGCAGUGGGUACGGGCAGACUAGAGUGCGGUAGGGGAGAUUGGAAUUCCUGGUGUAGCGGUGGAAUGCGCAGAUAUCAGGAGGAACACCAAUGGCGAAGGCAGAUCUCUGGGCCGUAACUGACGCUGAGGAGCGAAAGCAUG
This 226-nucleotide ribosomal RNA is filed under the name uncultured bacterium. RNAcentral describes it as "partial 16S ribosomal RNA". It matches the Rfam family "Bacterial small subunit ribosomal RNA", at positions 538 to 763 of the family's 1533-position model. The record is from RNAcentral.